RNAcentral lists this long non-coding RNA (3818 nucleotides) under Sorghum bicolor (sorghum). Its description in RNAcentral is "long non-coding RNA (SBIC_LNC018413)". The record is from RNAcentral. Lineage: Eukaryota; Viridiplantae; Streptophyta; Magnoliopsida; Poales; Poaceae.
UAAAUUUGAGUCGGAGUUUCAGAAAACCUACAAUGCCCAGAAGUUCUGGAAGGUCCCAGACCCUAAGCUGAGGAGAAGGCUCCGGGUGGCUGUUAUUGACAAAGUCAUUCCAAGCUUUCAGAAAUACUUGGAGUACAAUGGUAUCAGCCCCUUAAAAAUCACUCCCCAUGAUCUCAUGGACAUGUUGCAGGAGCUAUUUGAAGGGUGAACAAGCAAGCAAAGAGCCAAGGAAAGGAACCUAAGUUGCCACAGGUGCAAUCGUUUAUGUAUCCUUUGAGUGUUCUGUGUUUAAAUGUUUGGUUUUGGAACAAAGUAGUUGUUUCAGACGAAUAGAUUCUGAAAAAGAUGAUCACUGCAUAUACUUAUGUAUAUAAUGAUCGUUGCAUUAAGAUAGUAAUAAUAUUUGCCAAAUGUGCCAAACUAACGCGCAUGCUUGAUACUGCAACAAGAUGAUAAGAUUGGAUUCUGAAAAAAAAAGUGUCACUCUGUUUUGCUCUGUUCUACUCUGUUUGGCUGCAUGAAAGAAACGUCUUGAGCUGGUCAAACGCAUGGGAGCAGCAUACCUCUAGUCUAGUAUUGUGCACUGGCAGUACAGUAGGUGAGAUGAUACUAUGUUUGCAAGGGACAUUCUGGGGCCGGCUCUAUAGUUUGAAGGAUCCUAAGGUGAAUGGGUAAUUAUGGGCUCUUUAGGCUUAUUCUUUUUCAUUUCUAGCAUGAUAAAACAUGUAUUAGUACUAGUAAGCAUUAACACAAAAAUGUACUUAGUUUUUUAUAAAGCAAUGCCAAUACUGCAACAGGACAAACUAAACCAACAACAAAACUGAAAUAGUAUGGUUACCUCAAAUAAGAACCAAACUCAACGCCAUUGACAAUAUUACUUCAGUGCUUCUGAAAAAAAAACUCAUACAAUCAUUUCUUAAUGUAAAAUCAUUAAUGAUAAUAUCUUAGUCAAUGUGGUACAUAUCAGAUGCAAUGCUUUUUUUUAAUCAAAGGGCCACCCCAUUUCCAUUACAAAGUUUUUUUUUGAAGAUCCACUAAUAAGGAUUUCUAUAUAUCCGACCAAAAUGAUAAAGAAUAUCCCAAUCUGAUAAAUCAUUCCAAACGGGUUUAGUAAUAGGAUGCUCUGAUCCAGUACAAAAUUGAGUUUUUGAUAAGGAUCCAAGAAGGGGAGUUGCAGAGACUGUGAUAUCAAAUUUUUUUCAUCCGAGUAUCUAUUAGAAAAAGAUUUUUUUCAGCAUUUGAUUCUUUACUAGUAAAGUAUUUCUGCAACAGAAAUACAACAUUUAGAACUUUUAGGUAGCAAUAUAGAGGGCAGAAGGAGCUAGAGAAACAAGUUUGAUUACCAUACUUAAAACAAUAUAAAUGUGUGUUCCACGUACUUCCCUUCUAAUUCCCGGCCUAUGCAUGAUAUAUAUGUUGAUGAUCUGCAUUGCAGGAACCGGUACCUCCAACAUCAUUUUUGUCCAUAUAUCCCUGCUUGAUGGGAUUUAUGGGCGUUCUAGGUGGCUUUGCUGAGCUAAAGACAACCCCUCUAUGCAUGUCUUACACGGGUCUUCCCGGGAGGUGUUUGUGGGUUUAUUGAGCAAAAAAUAAGCAUUAAAUCAGCCUUGUUGAUCUCCUAGUAGGUCUCACCAUUUAGACCUCCUUCAACUACAUGCUAGGUUGCGUGCGGUCUACGGAGAAUAUAGCCUCUACUUGUGUGCCCGAAUCGACAUCAACAUACUCCUUCUUUACCUAUAAAGAAAAUUAUUUUGGACAAGGUUUUGUUAAACAUUGGGAAUAUAGGUCAUAAAUAACUUUUAAGUUAUUAAGUUUAAAAAUAUAAAAACCAUAUAAAUAGAUUUAUCUUAAAAAUACUUUUAUAAAAUAUACAUAUAUCAUUUUUUGAUAAAUAUUUUUAUAAAAAAAAGAGAGUUAACGUUAGGAUUUGGAGUCUGUGGCUGUCUUAAAAUGUAUGGAGGGAGUACUUUUUAUUAACUGAACGACUUGUUUGGAGGUACAUGGACAAAUGGUAUGUAUCUUGUUGAUCGGCAGGACGCCCCAAGUCUAGUCAACGACACCGUUUCAGGCAAAGCCAGUUCCCCAAGUCGGGGUUCCUGGCUGCAGGGUCUCCAAGGAUUCAUCGAUCGGUUGGGUUCCAAGUGAUCCCAUCGCAUCCCAUCCAGGCCGGGCAUCCAGCGCGUCGUGCAAGGCAGCAGUGGGAUCGGAGAGCAUGGAAGCCAAAGGUGCCUCAGCAUCCCGCACGCUCUCCGGCGAUGUUUCUUGGAAGCCGAACUGGCGGCGGGAGCUGCGAUCCAGUCCCGGCGGCAGCAGCAGCACCACCAUCUCACACCCUCUCGACCCCCAACAGUAACACACCUCGGUGCCUUAGCCCGCUGCCCACCAAUGGCUGUUUCGACCCGAUUCUUGACCUGAGCUGGUGGGUCUGCGAAGACAGAGAGAAGAAGCUUGACUUCGUCAUGCGCCUGUUCGACGACUUCUGUGUGGCCAAUGGAGACGCCAGCAGUGUGCUGGAGCUUUGGCUCCCGGAGAUGGCGGCAGUCAGCCGCCGUCGCCAUGUCGUCGCCGGCGAUCCCACCAGCUUGCUGCAAUUCGCAGGGAGCUGGGUCGGGGCUCUUACUGGCAUCGCCGAAUCUAUCCGCAACGCUUACCUCGCCGCCAUGUUCAGUGUUCCUGAGGGAGGGCCUGUGCACGUCCAGUUAGUUAGCACGAUUUACCAGAGCAUUCAUCUUGAAGAUGAGUCCUUUUGUUGACGCCGUAGUUGCUCCGUAUUCUUCCUGCAGCAUCACCCACGGCGGCGGUGAGAGUGAGAUCAUUGUCGUUGCUGAUGGAGCACCGUCACCGACAGCACAGCCUCUGAUAGGUGUACGCGAGGCAGUGUCCAGGGCGUCGCAGGACAUCCGGCUAUCCUUCUGCUCCACAUCAUCAGUGGAAGCGAAGAUGAUCACACAGAUGAGAUGGCCAGCCUCUUGUUAUCGAAAGCAGGCGAGCUGGAUAUGGAGCAUCAUACAGGAGGUCAGGGCCCAUCUUCUGCCGUCCACAGAGCUGGAGGUGGACGAUGGCCCGUGGUGGGGUGCUCAAAUACAGGUGGUGGGCUGUUGUAAGCUAGUACAUCAGUUUGCUGUCGGCCAACUGCGCUACAGUGUAUCGGAUUGUCGGACAAUUUGCAGCAAGAUUCCCUGGGUAUGUGCCUACAAUUGACAGCAUGAGCCCUCUGAACAGCCUCAUCAUGGAGACGGUGUCAGGUUUGGAUGAAAAGCUCGCUGAGAAAUCCCGAUCGUUCCCUGACCAGAGCUUAAGGUUCCUAUUCUUGAUCAACAACUCCUACUUCAUAUGGCAGCACCUCUAUCCAAUUUCGGUUCCGGAGGUCAACAAUUUCCUCGAGGUAAAGAUCGACAACUAUGUCCAAACAUAUCUGCAAGUGUCUUGGGAACCGGUGUUGUCAUGCCUGUGCAGUUCUACGCCUCUCUGCUUUGGGAAAAACUACUCCCUUCCCUUGUACCUAAAUUUGAGUCGGAGUUUCAGAAAACCUACAAUGCCCAGAAGUUCUGGAAGGUCCCAGACCCUAAGCUGAGGAGAAGGCUGCGGGUAGCUAUUAUUGAGGAAGUCGUUUCGAGCUUUACGAAAUACUUGGAGUAUAAUGAUAUCAUCCCCUCAAGAAUCACUCCCCAUGAUCUCAUGGACAUGUUGCAAGAGCUAUUCGAAGGGUGAACAAGUACGCAAAGAGCCAAAGAAGGAAUGAACUUGUCACAGGUGCAAUUGUUUAUGUACUAUACGUGUUUAGAUUUUUUUUGCUUGUUGCAUCAAAUGACUUUACA